CCGAUCUCUCGGCGUGGAGGAAACGUAAACAAAGGAAAUGUACUCUCUUGUCCAUUUUUUGGCGGAAAAUGAUGUCGCAGUUGUCCCUACCUGUUGGGUGUGCAAUGGCUGCACGGCAUGGCCACCCUACAAAUCAAAUCGGUUGAUGAUGGCAAUUAGAGAGCGUGAAGAGCCCUCAACUGACUGGGCCACAUUCUCCUGUCAGGUGAUGGCAUCAUGUUUGACAUAUGAAGAUGCAAAGUACAAAGAAAAAAAAUUCGGAAGCGACGUCCGACCUAACAUUGAAUAAUGAAGAGCGGGAGAAGAGAAAAAGGAAGAGACUGCAGCAUACUCUUUCUUCAUUUGAGGAUGAGGACUUCUAUGACCAAGAUGAACGACGUAACACUCAGCCAGCCCCUCGACUUCCAGAACCAGAGCCCAAGCAAAAACGCACACGUG
Molecule: long non-coding RNA, 438 nt
Filed under: Ixodes scapularis (black-legged tick)
Lineage: Eukaryota; Metazoa; Arthropoda; Arachnida; Ixodida; Ixodidae
Description: uncharacterized LOC120841598, transcript variant X2
Source: RNAcentral